Molecule: long non-coding RNA, 1702 nt
Filed under: Homo sapiens (human)
Lineage: Eukaryota; Metazoa; Chordata; Mammalia; Primates; Hominidae
Description: HSALNT0023544
Source: RNAcentral
GCGGGAUCGUGACGUUAAGGGCGGUGCCCAGUCAGCGAGGUCUUAAGACCCUCAUUUGAGAGAUGCCUUCCCUGUACCUGGAGGAAAGAAACAUCUUUAUCUCUGAAGACACAGGGCCACAGAGAAGAGUCUGAACAAACAGGCUUUACCAAUUUCCCCCAGUUGUUACCGUUAGAUCAGACCUUUGUCCAGUCAUAUCCUUCCACAAGUUGUCCACUCAUCAACCCUAAGCAUAAAAAUGCACAAGUUUCCUUGUUUGUUUGGGUCUUCAUUUCCAAGGGCUCCUAUGUCAUGUUAAACUUUUAAAUAAAUUUGCAUGCUUUUCUCUUGUGAAUCUGGUUUUUGUUAUAAGGGCCUUAGCCAUGAACCUAAGAUGGUAAGGGUUUCUUUUCCCCUACAUGCAAUAUAAGUGGAUUUAAAUUUUAUUAAAAUAAAUAGAAAAAUACCUCCCCAGUGUAGACAUGUGUGUAUGUGUGAGGCGCCCAGGCAACUUGUGGUUCCACUUGGAGACGAGCCUCUCCUCUGUACGUCCUUCCCAAAAUAUCACCUUUGCAGUUAAGAUCAAACUUUGAUUUAUGUGGGACUAACUAACAACUGCAGUCGACAAUAGGAAAGCAGCCAGAAUGAUUCCCUGCCGACGUGGUGGAAUUAUUAGACUCCCAUUCUCACAGCAUGGUAAUUAAAGUGUUAAAAUGGAGAGGCACAGGACCAAGGAAGAACGCAUCCAGAAAUUACCCGCACCCAGUCAUUUUCAGGGCACUCAUCUAAUCCUGUCAAUGGAACUUUUUGAGAUGGCUCUAAAUUUCAGUGUGGUUUAGAAGUCCUUCAAGUAGUACGGAAUUUUUUCACUGUCUCUGUCAUCAGUGAGAUUUCUGUCAGGCAUCUCAGCUUGUAGGCCAUGUAGUCUGUCACAACUCCUCCCCCUUGUGGCUGUAGGGUGAAAGCAGCCGCAGACAAUUCCUAGAAGGAGUAGGCUGUUUAUGGACACUGAAAUUUGAAUUUCAUGUAUUUUUAAUGUGUCAUGAGAUAUUCUCUCGAUUUUUUUCCAACAAUUUAAAACUGUAAAAACUAUCCUUAGCCUGCAGGCUAUACAAAAACAGCUGUUUGCCAAUCCUUGCACUAGCUUUGUGAGGGAGGCACAGCUCGCACCCAGCACAGGACCUAGCAAAAUCGAAGAUGCUCAGUAAAUGUUUAUUGAAUGAAUUCAGUGGACAGAUGACCAGAAAAACCCCAUGAUGCCUCAGAAAUACACUCCAAAGGAACUUUUACAAUGUAGUUUUCACAUAGUUAUUUCAUUUAUAUUUGUUUUGUAACAUUUGUACUGCUUUUCGCUUAUUUACUUUUGAGACAAGGUCUCUGUCUCCCAGGCUGGAGUGCAGUGGUGCGAUCUCAGCUCACUGCAACCUCUGCUUCCCAGGUUGAAGUGAUUCUCCUGCCUCAGCCUCCUGAGUAGCUGGGAUUACAGGCAUGAGCCACCAUGCCUGGCCGGGAAUUCAUCUUAUUUUAUAAAACUGCCAAAGUUAUCAAAAAUAAACUAAAACCAGGCCGGGCACGGUGGCUCACACCUGUAAUCCCAGCACUUUGGGAGGCUGAGGCAGGCGGAUCGCUUGAGCUCAGGAGUCGGAGAUGAGCCUGGCCAACAUGGUGAAACCCUGUCUCAACUAAAAAUACAAAAAGCAGCCGGGCAUGGUGGCGCACGCCU